UUUCCGUAGGUGAACCUGCGGAAGGAUCAUUACUGAGUUAGGGUCUUUAUGGCCCGACCUCCAACCCUUUGUUUAAUCUACCAUGUUGCUUUGGCAGGCCCGCUUAGAAAUGGGCCGCCGGAGACCUUUGAGUCUCUGGUCAGUGCCUGCCAGUAGCCUUUCCAAAUUCAUUUAUAACCGUGUCUGAAUAUACAAAGAAAAAUUAAAAUAAAACUUUCAACAACGGAUCUCUUGGUUCUG
Molecule: unclassified non-coding RNA, 240 nt
Filed under: plant metagenome
Description: partial contains small subunit ribosomal RNA, internal transcribed spacer 1, and 5.8S ribosomal RNA
Source: RNAcentral